RNAcentral lists this transfer RNA (63 nucleotides) under Loxodonta africana (African savanna elephant). It matches the Rfam family "tRNA". Rfam says of the family: Transfer RNA (tRNA) molecules are approximately 80 nucleotides in length. Their secondary structure includes four short double-helical elements and three loops (D, anti-codon, and T loops). Further hydrogen bonds mediate the characteristic L-shaped molecular structure. tRNAs have two regions of fundamental functional importance: the anti-codon, which is responsible for specific mRNA codon recognition, and the 3' end, to which the tRNAs corresponding amino acid is attached (by aminoacyl-tRNA synthetases). tRNAs cope with the degeneracy of the genetic code in two manners: having more than one tRNA (with a specific anti-codon) for a particular amino acid; and 'wobble' base-pairing, i.e. permitting non-standard base-pairing at the 3rd anti-codon position. Lineage: Eukaryota; Metazoa; Chordata; Mammalia; Proboscidea; Elephantidae. The record is from Rfam by way of RNAcentral.
GCCAUUGUGGUUUCUGCGUAACUACUAACCAAAAGGUUGGUGGUUCAAAUCCACCCAGUGGCA